CUCUUAUCAAGAGCAGGCGGAGGGAUUUGGCCCGAUGAUGCCCAGCAACCGACCGUAAUACCAUUGUAAAAUGGGGCGAUGUUCAUCGCCAAAUGUAAGGCACGGUGCUACUUCCAACAGAAUGUAAUUGUUCUGGCAGAUAAGAG
This 146-nucleotide non-coding RNA is filed under the name Bacillus coahuilensis. Its description in RNAcentral is "SAM-I sequence". It matches the Rfam family "SAM riboswitch aptamer (S box leader)". From Rfam's summary of the family: The SAM riboswitch is found upstream of a number of genes which code for proteins involved in methionine or cysteine biosynthesis in Gram-positive bacteria. The SAM riboswitch acts at the level of transcription termination control. Lineage: Bacteria; Bacillati; Bacillota; Bacilli; Caryophanales; Bacillaceae. RNAcentral also lists the same sequence under 1 other name. The record is from RNAcentral.